UACGGAGGGGGCAAGCGUUAUUCGGAAUUAUUGGGCGUAAAGGGCGCGUAGGCGGCUAGAUGUGUCAAAGGUGAAAUCCCUCGGCUCAACUGAGGAACUGCCUUUGAAACUGUCUGGCUUGAGGCCGGGAGAGGGUAGCGGAAUUCCCGGUGUAGCGGUGAAAUGCGUAGAUAUUGGGAGGAACACCAGUGGCGAAGGCGGCUACCUGGACCGGUUCUGACGCUGAGGCGCGAAAGCGUGGGGAGCAAACAGG
Molecule: ribosomal RNA, 253 nt
Filed under: uncultured bacterium
Lineage: Bacteria
Description: partial 16S ribosomal RNA
Rfam family: Bacterial small subunit ribosomal RNA
Source: RNAcentral